CCUACGGGAGGCAGCAGUGGGGAAUAUUGGACAAUGGGGGAAACCCUGAUCCAGCGACGCCGCGUGAGUGAAGAAGUAUUUCGGUACGUAAAGCUCUAUCAGCAGGAAAGAAAAUGACGGUACCUGACUAAUAAGCCCCGGCUAACUACGUGCCAGCAGCCGCGGUAAUACGUAGGGGGCAAGCGUUAUCCGGAUUUACUGGGGGUAAAGGGAGCGUAGACGGCAGCGCAAGUCUGGAGUGAAAUGCCGGGGCUCAAACCUGGAACUGCUCUGGAAACUGGGAAGCUGGAGUGCAGAAGAGGUAAGCGGAAUUCCAUGUGUAGCGGUGAAAUGCGUAGAUAGCAGGAGGAACACCGGCGGCGAAGGCGGCUUACUGGACUGUAACUGACGUUGAGGCUCGAAGGCGUGGGGAGCAAACAGGAUUAGAUACCCGGGUAGUC
This 440-nucleotide ribosomal RNA is filed under the name uncultured bacterium. RNAcentral describes it as "partial 16S ribosomal RNA". It matches the Rfam family "Bacterial small subunit ribosomal RNA", at positions 338 to 795 of the family's 1533-position model. The record is from RNAcentral.